RNAcentral lists this ribosomal RNA (186 nucleotides) under uncultured eukaryote. Its description in RNAcentral is "partial 18S ribosomal RNA". It matches the Rfam family "Eukaryotic small subunit ribosomal RNA", at positions 1299 to 1458 of the family's 1831-position model. The record is from RNAcentral.
UGGUGGAGUGAUUUGUCUGGUUAAUUCCGAUAACGAACGAGACUCUGUCCUGCUAACUAGGUUGUGUUUUCUCGGGUUGGUGUUUCUGGUGUUCCUUCUCGGGGCGCCGGCCCAAUCCACUUGUGAACACAACACUCUUCUUAGAGGGACUGGCGGCUGUUAGCCGCACGAGAUAGAGUAAUAACA